This 253-nucleotide ribosomal RNA is filed under the name uncultured bacterium. RNAcentral's name for it is "partial 16S ribosomal RNA". It matches the Rfam family "Bacterial small subunit ribosomal RNA", at positions 524 to 776 of the family's 1533-position model. The record is from RNAcentral.
UACAUAGGGUGCUAGCGUUGCUCGGAAUUACUGGGCGUAAAGCACAUGUAGGAGGACUUAAAAGUCAAAAGUGCAAUUCCUAGGCUCAACCUAGGCGCUGCUUUUGAUACUUUAAGUCUAGAGUGAGAUAGAGGAUAGUGGAAUUCUUAGUGUAGGGGUAAAAUCCGUAGAUAUUAAGAGGAACACCAAAAGCGAAGGCAGCUAUCUGGGUCUCUACUGACUCUGAGAUGUGAAAGCGUGGGGAGCAAACAGG